Molecule: non-coding RNA, 80 nt
Organism: Chelonoidis abingdonii (Abingdon island giant tortoise)
Lineage: Eukaryota; Metazoa; Chordata; Testudines; Testudinidae
Source: RefSeq, a predicted model, not a curated record
AAAAACCUCAAAAACCGACUUCCACGAGAAACUGCAGAACUGGAAUUAAUUAGCAAACUUGACACCAUAAAAUUAGGCCU